CUGCAGUGAUGACUUUCUUAGGACACCUUUGGAUUAAUCAUGAAAAGAUGAUGGGUUUUCUGAGCAGC
This 68-nucleotide small nucleolar RNA is filed under the name Pelusios castaneus (West African mud turtle). Its description in RNAcentral is "Small nucleolar RNA SNORD58 (ENSPCEG00000017561.1)". It matches the Rfam family "Small nucleolar RNA SNORD58". Rfam says of the family: snoRNA U58 is found in introns 1, 3 and 6 of the ribosomal protein RPL17 gene in humans. The record is from Rfam by way of RNAcentral. Lineage: Eukaryota; Metazoa; Chordata; Testudines; Pelomedusidae.